Brachypodium distachyon (stiff brome) is the source of this 2911-nucleotide long non-coding RNA. RefSeq lists it as uncharacterized. The transcript is spliced from 3 exons. Lineage: Eukaryota; Viridiplantae; Streptophyta; Magnoliopsida; Poales; Poaceae. The record is from RefSeq and is a predicted model, not a curated record.
CCUCGGCGCCUCCUCGUCCGAAAUCCCCAAACAGCAUCCCGCGUACGUGAGAGAGUAUGACUCAAAUUUCCCUCACCUCCAUCUCCAUAUCAUCUGGUGCUCUGGAAUCUGGAUCCAUUACAGCCAUGGGCCUAUGCUAUCUAUUCCUCCAUCUCUUCCUGGCGCCGGAGAGGGGCGGCGGCGGAGGUGGUUCCGGUGGUCUGGGGUAGGCGGCGGCGGCGGCGGUGCAGGUGGUGGCGCAGGCGGUGGCUUUGAGGAGGCUCCGGUGGAGGCUUGGGCAGGACCGCGGGAGGCUUCGCGUUCGUUCUACACAGUGCGGUGCCGAUUGCCUGGACUGGAGGCUGGAUGGCUGGAGCGGAGCCUUGACCUGUGUCAAACGAGAGGAGCUGGCAGAAAAUGGAAUGAGGAGACAGUUACCUGAUAUGGUCGUCUGGGAGAAGACAGACGAAGAGAAGAGAUGUUGCAGCUUGGAGGAGGGUAGGCUGGUGUGCAAUCCUGUUGCCGCCUGUCCUCACGCUAGCAUGGAUGCUCUGUUCUUUACUUAAUUUUUUCUCACCAGCUCUCCGUCCCCGAGUCCUCUGUUUAUCUUCUUUUUAUUGGAGUUGGGGGGGCGGGGGGGCGGGAGGCAUAAGUUUCCUUUUCCCAAUUUGGCACCCUGAUGUGUUGGAUAUUACGAGUACGCGAGUUCCUACACGUGGCUUCAAGGAAUUAUGAUUCCGCGAAGUUGUCAGGUUCAGCAUAUAACACACCGUGUGCUUACCAUCUGGAUACAGGGUUACCACCUCAUCUCAUCCACUCUGAAAGGCUUAGCUGCUCAUCACAUGUGGACUACAUGGUGUUUAGUCCACAUAUAUAAUAAUUUUGGAGAUGUGUAGGCUCCAUGUUGGAUAAUAGAUGUAGCCUGGACAAUACAAGCAUUUUCCCAUCCUCCAAUGCUGUAGUCUCUCUCUUAUGUCUCUUGUGUUUCUAAUCUCUUGCUUGUGUUGGAAUGUCCCUGCAUUAUCACAGGUGACCAUAUGUUAGAGUGGGGAGUGAUGAAGUGGCGGUCCUAGCACGCAUGUGCAUGCAUGUGUCUACGGUCUACCACCCACUUUCUCAUUGUAUCUUUCAACUAGGUAUGAUGUAUCCGGCUUCUUGCUUCUUGUUGGAGAGCGGAGACCUGUAGAGAGAGCUCAUCUCCAUAAUGAGCCAGUGGAAACGAGGAUAUCAUUGUUCUUAAACAUCAUGGAUAAUGGUUCCACAUGGGCAGUACCAUUCAUUUAUGUAUCAUAAUGAUUUUAGUCUCCUAAAAGCAGGUUGAGUAUAUUUCAAAUUCCACCUGUUUAUCGAUCUAAUUUUUGCUGUUUAACUGUUGCCAAAUACUCUCUCCAUCCCAUAUUAAGUGACUUUCUAUUACAUAUAUCUAGACACUUUUUAGGCAUAGAUGCAUCCAUAUUUGGGCAAAUUUGAGUCACUUAAUAUGGGACGGAGGGAGUAUUAAUUUUUUAGGUUUAAAUUCAUAUGGACAACAGUCAGUUUUUAGAUCUUCAAACUAUCAAUGAAUGGGUUCCCUUCUGACUAGUCAUUUUCAGCGAGCUCUUACUUUUUGGAUUCUGUAUUUUUGUGUGGUCUUAUAUAAUUAUAUUCCUUGUUGUUAUGUAGCUUAUGAUCUGCUCUUUGAGCACUCCUGUUCCAAUAUCAGCAGUUUGGAAUCAUUUGUUUGCCCAUAAAGCCACGCCUUUUAUGUUCCUUUUUUGGUAUCAUGGUUCUAUUUGAAAACAUAAUGACAGAUGUUGACACGUUUACAGCAUUUUCUUGUUAUUUAUCUCUUGAUAAAUUAUCUAUAGCAAUUGUUAUCUAAUUUGUUCCUUUACAUGGUUCAUCAGGCAUCUCUUGGACAAGCAGAUAUUUGCUAAACAUAAGGUCCCAACCCCCAGUUGGGCUGUAUGGCCUUUCCUAAAGGAGAUCACAAUCCCGCGCAACUCAGCUUUCGAUGAGGUAGAGAAUUUUAUGAUUCCAGGAAGUUGUCAGGUUCAGCAUACAAUAAACUGUGCUUAGCAUUUGGAUACAGGUUACCACCUCUGCACCUCGUCUCAUCCUUUCUGAAAGGCACGUGGACUACUCCCUCCGUUCAUCCAUGCAUCACAUGUGGACUUGAACUAAAAUCACACAAGAAUUUAGGAACGGAAAGAGUACAUAAUAAUUUUUAAGAUGCGUAGGCCACAUGUUGGAUAUGAGAUGUGGGUCCCUGCAAUGUAAUCUACAUACGAUGGAGCCGCCAAUUGGCUGUGCCGACUGAUGUGCCCAGGCUCCCUGUUCACGUCGCUCUAAAACCAUCCGGAGCCUGAGGGAGCUAGCCCGGUUGGAUCGACGGAUGGUUGCGGUGAGCCCACGAAAACGACCUGGCAUGGUGGGGCUCGGCUAACCGGCCGGCCAUAUCGUGGUGCAGGUGUGGCUCGUCUCGGCUCCUGAUCUUGAUUAGGAUUCGCAGAAAGAAGAAUAAUACAGCCGCAAGCUAAUGGAGAUCACGCUGGCCGUCCGCCCGUCCACGGACUGAACCCACGCAGCAUGUAGGUCAGUAGGUGGUGUCUCCGCGUUGAACUCGAAAAAAGCGGCAGAAAAAUGUAAGUUCGGCACGAAACGAUGGCGCCAACUCGGGAUAUCGCCAAAGGUCUUGGGGUCCAUGGAUCAAUCAUGGUGAUGCUGGUCAAUUGUUACUUAUCUUAAUCACGUCGCCGGUGUUUGUGUUGAGUUGGGGAGGUCGGAAGGCCGUUGAUUACUUCUCAAUUGUUUCUAGUCACCGUUGAUUCAGUCCAUCGCACACAGAUCGUACCUGUUUUGUCGUACGUAAGAUACUUGUGCUACUCCUCCCUGACUUCGCAUUAAUUCUCUGCCACUUAUUAUGGAUUAAAGGGAUUAGAUGGUUUUUUAA